Molecule: non-coding RNA, 248 nt
Filed under: Anaerocolumna xylanovorans
Lineage: Bacteria; Bacillati; Bacillota; Clostridia; Lachnospirales; Lachnospiraceae
Description: T-box sequence
Rfam family: T-box leader
About the family: Uncharged tRNA acts as the effector for transcription antitermination of genes in the T-box leader family.
Source: RNAcentral
AAAAAGGCUAUGACAGGGAAUAGUAGCUGUUACUUUGAUUUCAGAGAGAAGAUGGCUGGUGCGAAUCUUUAGGAAAAGUACAGGGAAGGCGCCCUCAAGCUGUGGCUUGAACGGAAUUCAAGUAGAGACCAACGGAAAAUCCACCGUUAUCAGGGGAAGCGGCAUAAAGUGUAUACUCGUGCCGUAACAAGAGUGCAGGUUAUCCUGAAUUUAGGUAGUACCACGGACAGAUAUUGUUCGCCCUAAGC